UUCGAAAAUAAUUUUUAUCAUUAAGAAUUUGGUUAAAAUUUAAAUUUAAACUUUGUUCAUAUUUGGAGCAUUUCCUUUGUCAUUGCCCGGCUUUCGCAUUUAACAGUUACCGGCACCUAGCUGAAGACACAAUGCCAGACAUGAACCAACUGAAGGGAGUGGUAUUGAAAACAAUUAAGGAUUUUUUUUUAGAGCGCACAACAAGCCGAUUACUGGUUUAGGUGUAUGUCCAUAGUGGCAUGGGAAGAUUAAUAUUUGGAGAAAAAAUUCAAAAUUCAAUUUCGUAGAUUGUCGCCACUCCUGUGGAUUACCAACAUAAAAGCGUGCUGAGGGUCAGGGAGCAGAGAGCAGCUAUGCAGAAAAGCCGAAAUAGUGCACAGGUUUUGCAGAUAGCAGGCACAUGGGCUAGAACUAGGAAUCUGAAUAUUAACCUAGACGAAAGUCCUAUGGGGAGAAACAGAUUGUGAGAAGACGAGGCUAGUACUGAAAGAUUUAUGUUGCAGAGGCAAACGUGUUGAGAAUGGCGAUAGGUAGAAAUUAGGUGUGGUGUACAGGGAAGUGAUCAACCAAAGUAAGUUCACGGUGAACAUAAGUCCGAAACUCGGCUAAUUUCAAUAUAGUAUAUUGAACUGGGAAAAUAAUAAAGCCUUAAGCCUUUGAUAUCACAGAUCCUACCUCGUAUUUGCUAUUGUAAAAAUAAAACCAUCAUUGGAAAAAUAGAGUUGUAAACAGUGUACCACUACCAACACCCCACCAUCAGUUAUUUUCUCCACCCCAUACGGUCUUGCAGUCGGGGCAAAGAAACUACGAAGUCAACCACUCACACCUAUUUAUGGAAUUAAUUGAACUGCAACUGAAACUAUCUGUGUUAAACACAAACUAAUGAACGCCUAAAGUAAACACAAUCUCACUAAACACACUCGCACUUACAAUAACGCCCCCAAGUUCAGUCAUGUGGUUGGAAAAGAGGCCAAAGGAUCAUUAGGAAUAGAUUUUCACACAUAAUUCAUUUGAAGAAAAUGCCCCUCACUUUACUGCAACACCACAGUAAUUGAGGCAUGAAAAGUCAACAUAACUAAAAGACAAUCCCAAAAACCCAAUCGAUUAACUUCAUAUCAAAGAAACCAUGGUGUGGCAGGAAAAAGGGAUAAACAAUGGUCAACAAGGAUUUCACACACACACACACACGCACGAGCACAUAUACGACUACAUAUGUAUGCCCAUAUGCAUUCAUACUAGCCCAAUGUUAUUAAUAUCAAUGAAUUGUUGAAAUAACUCAUCUGCACACAAAUGCUAGAAAUACCUUAGCCUUUGUCAUGGACAAGGGAAGUGGGAGGAGGCGUAUAGCAUGAUAGCCCCAAGAAGAAGGGCAGCAAGAGAUUACAUCAAGUCUUUUGCAACAGCAACACCUUAGAAAUCAUUACGAAAUAGAUGUGAUAACAUCAAUGUUGAUAUUCUGCCAGGACCAACCUA
Stomoxys calcitrans (stable fly) is the source of this 1473-nucleotide long non-coding RNA. RefSeq lists it as uncharacterized. The transcript has 5 exons. The record is from RefSeq and is a predicted model, not a curated record. Lineage: Eukaryota; Metazoa; Arthropoda; Insecta; Diptera; Muscidae.